Molecule: ribosomal RNA, 1509 nt
Filed under: Triticum aestivum (bread wheat)
Lineage: Eukaryota; Viridiplantae; Streptophyta; Magnoliopsida; Poales; Poaceae
Description: partial small subunit ribosomal RNA
Source: RNAcentral
AUGGAGCACUACGAGCGCCACUGCCCGCCCGCGCCCCGCCGCCUCAACUGCCUCAUCCCCCUACCCGCCGGCUACCUGGUGCCCAUCAGGUGGCCGAGGAGCCGGGACGAGGUGUGGAGGGCAAAUCUACCCCACACGCACCUUGCCUCGGAGAAGUCAGCCCAGGGGUGGAUGGUGGAGAACGGCGACAAGAUCAGCUUCCCUGGUGUGGGCACCCGCUUUCACCCCGGCGCCCACAAGUACAUUGUGCACCUUGCACAGAUGCUGGAGUUUCCUUAUGGCAAGCUCAACAACCAAGGCAACAUCAGGAAUGUGCUCGAUAUUGGCUGCGGGGUUGCUACCUUCGGGGCCUACCUUCUUGAUCUAGAUAUAAUCGCAAUGUCAAUUGCUCCCAACGAUGUGCAUGAGAACCAAAUUCAGUUCGCCCUUGAGAGGGGGAUACCAUCAACCCUUGGCGUGCUGGCUACAAGGAGGCUGCCAUAUCCGAGCCGCUCAUUCGAGCUGGCGCAUUGCUCCCGUUGUCGAAUUGACUGGUUGCAGAGGGGUGGGCUCUUGCUGCUGGAAGUGGAUAGGCUUUUGAGGCCUGGAGGCUACUUUGUUUAUUCUUCACCAGAGGCUUAUGCUCCCGAUCCAUUGAACAGGAAGAUAUGGAGGCAGAUGAGCAAUCUCGCUCGGAGGAUGUGUUGGAGGAUUGCUUCAAGGAAGGACCAGACAGUGAUAUGGGUCAAACCAUUGGCAAAUUGGUGCUAUAUGAAGAGAUUGCCUGGAGCACUUCCUCCCAUGUGUGGCCAUGGUGAUGACCCAGAUGCUGCUUGGAAUGUCCUCAUGAAAGCAUGCAUAACUCCCUACUCCAAGAGAGUGAACAAGUUUAAAGGAAGCGAACUGCUUCCCUGGCCACAAAGGCUCACAGCACCACCCCCUCGCCUGGAAGAGAUCGGAAUCAGUUCAAAGAAUUUUUCUGAAGACAGCGAAAUUUGGCAUUCUAGAGUUGUUCUCUACUGGAAACUUAUGAAAACUGAGAUACAGAAGGAUUCCUUUAGGAAUGUUAUGGAUAUGAAUGCUAACCUUGGUGGGUUUGCAGCAUCACUGAGGAAAAAGGAUGUCUGGGUAAUGAAUGUAGUCCCUUUCAUGGAAUCUGGAAAACUGAAGAUCAUAUAUGAUCGUGGUUUAAUUGGGACAAUCCAUAAUUGGUGCGAGUCAUUCUCGACCUACCCUCGUACCUACGACCUCCUUCACGCCUGGCUGCUGUUCUCUGAGAUGGUAAAUGAGGGCUGCAGCCUGGAGGAUCUGCUGAUCGAGAUGGACCGCAUCAUGAGGCCUCAUGGGUACGCCAUUAUCAGAGACAAAGCUUCUGUGGUAAACUACAUCAAGAAGCUUCUACCGGCGCUGAGAUGGGAUGACUGGUCCUCUGAGAUGAAACCGAAGAAUGACGCACUUUCGUCAGGUGACGAUGAAAGAGUCCUGAUCGUGAGGAAAAAGCUAUGGGAUCAGGCACUGCAGCCUUUGUAG